AGUGAACGCUGGCGGUAGGCCUAACACAUGCAAGUCGAACGGCAGCACAGUAAGAGCUUGCUCUUACGGGUGGCGAGUGGCGGACGGGUGAGGAAUACAUCGGAAUCUACUUUUUCGUGGGGAUAACGUAGGGGAACUUACGCUAAUACCGCAUACGACCUACGGGUGAAAGCAGGGGAUCUUCGGACCUUGCGCGAUUGAAUGAGCCGAUGUCGGAUUAGCUAGUUGGCGGGGUAAAGGCCCACCAAGGCGACGAUCCGUAGCUGGUCUGAGAGGAUGAUCAGCCACACUGGAACUGAGACACGGUCCAGACUCCUACGGGAGGCAGCAGUGGGGAAUAUUGGACAAUGGGCGCAAGCCUGAUCCAGCCAUACCGCGUGGGUGAAGAAGGCCUUCGGGUUGUAAAGCCCUUUUGUUGGGAAAGAAAAGCAGCAGGUUAAUACCCCGCUGUUCUGACGGUACCCAAAGAAUAAGCACCGGCUAACUUCGUG
RNAcentral lists this ribosomal RNA (491 nucleotides) under uncultured bacterium. RNAcentral describes it as "partial 16S ribosomal RNA". It matches the Rfam family "Bacterial small subunit ribosomal RNA", at positions 29 to 507 of the family's 1533-position model. The record is from RNAcentral.